GACGAACGCUGGCGGCGUGCUUAACACAUGCAAGUCGAACGGUGAAGCGCCUUCCUUUUUGGUGGGUGGGGAUGAGUGGCGAACGGGUGAGUAACACUUGAGUAACCUGCCCCCUUCUUCUGGAUAACCGCAUGAAAGUUUGGCUAAUACGGGAUAUUCUGGGUCUGUCGCAUGAUGGGUCUGGUAAAGAUAUUGUUUCUGUGGUGGAUGCGCUCGCGGCCUAUCAGCUUGUUGGUGGGGUGAUGGCCUACCAAGGCGGUGACGGGUAGACGGCCUGAGAGGGUAGACGGUCACACUGGGACUGCGACAAGGGCGAGACUCCUACGGGAGGCAGCAGUGGGGAAUAUUGCACAAUGGGCGCAAGCCUGAUGCAGCGACGCGGCGUGAGCGAUGGAGGCCUUCGGGUUGUGAACCUCUUUCGCCAGUGAAGCAGGCCUGCCUCGUUUGUGGGUGGGUUGACGGUAGCUGGAUAAGAAGCGCCGGCUAACUACGUG
This 494-nucleotide ribosomal RNA is filed under the name uncultured bacterium. RNAcentral describes it as "partial 16S ribosomal RNA". It matches the Rfam family "Bacterial small subunit ribosomal RNA", at positions 28 to 507 of the family's 1533-position model. The record is from RNAcentral.